RNAcentral lists this unclassified non-coding RNA (343 nucleotides) under soil metagenome. Its description in RNAcentral is "partial contains 5.8S ribosomal RNA, internal transcribed spacer 2, and large subunit ribosomal RNA". The stretch from base 1 to 120 matches the Rfam family "5.8S ribosomal RNA", at positions 35 to 154 of the family's 154-position model. The record is from RNAcentral.
GAUGAAGAACGCAGCGAAAUGCGAUAAGUAAUGUGAAUUGCAGAAUUCAGUGAAUCAUCGAAUCUUUGAACGCACAUUGCGCCCGCUAGUAUUCUGGCGGGCAUGCCUGUCCGAGCGUCAUUUCAACCCUCAAGCCCCCGGGCUUGGUGUUCGGGAUCGGCGAGCCUCCGCGCCCGCCGUCCCCUAAAUCUAGUGGCGGUCUCGCUGUAGCUUCCUCUGCGUAGUAGCACACCUCGCACUGGGAAACAGCGCGGCCACGCCGUUAAACCCCCAACUUCUGAACGUUUGACCUCGGAUCAGGUAGGAAUACCCGCUGAACUUAAGCAUAUCAAUAAGCGGAGGA